UUCUUCAGAACUAGGCCAAAGCUCAGAGAACCUUCAUCUCUGAGACUACAGCUGCCGGAGAAGCUACUUCAUCAGCAGAUUACCCCCUGAGAUCAGACACCUUACAAGGUCCAGAACCGACAAGGCUGUACAUGGGAUUCAGACAGCAAGCCGAAUAUAACACCUUCAAGGAAAAACUCCAAUACAGCAGAGAUACAUAAACGUGACAUCGAAAACAUGAAGCGGAAAAAUUUCCAAAGGGACGCCGAGGACUACCGCACAAACAGGGUAUAUAAAUGGCAGAACAACUACCCUCGCCCACCCCUGGAACGACAAAAGGACUACCUCUCCUCUUCCGACUCCGCCAUCUCGAGCCGCGACAGCCGAUACAGAACAGAAAACCCUCCUCCCGCCUUCCCGGGAUCCCGAAGAAACCGUGGUCGCAGAGGGAGACAAGACGCAACUGGAGCAUACACCGGAAGGACGACCAGAUCGCAGAGCAGAUACUGACCCCAACCUACAUUCCUAUUGGGGAACUGAAUAGAUC
Molecule: long non-coding RNA, 526 nt
Organism: Bufo gargarizans (Asiatic toad)
Lineage: Eukaryota; Metazoa; Chordata; Amphibia; Anura; Bufonidae
Exons: 3
Source: RefSeq, a predicted model, not a curated record